RNAcentral lists this ribosomal RNA (404 nucleotides) under Harpacticus environmental sample. RNAcentral describes it as "partial small subunit ribosomal RNA". It matches the Rfam family "Eukaryotic small subunit ribosomal RNA", at positions 30 to 432 of the family's 1831-position model. The record is from RNAcentral. Lineage: Eukaryota; Metazoa; Arthropoda; Copepoda; Harpacticoida; Harpacticidae.
GCUUGUCUCAAAGAUUAAGCCAUGCAUGUCUAAGUACAAGCCUCACUAAGGUGAAACCGCGAAUGGCUCAUUAAAUCACACCUAAUAUACUGGACAGUCUCAGUUACUUGGUAUAACUGCGCUAAUUGUGGAGCUAAUACAUGCUUUUGAUCCCCGAACUUACGUGAGGGGUGCUUUUAUUAGAUCAAAACCAAACGUCCUCGGACGUCCCCCUGGUGAUUCUGAAUAACUUUUUGCCGAUCGCACGGCUUCACGCCGGCGACGUGUCCAUCUAAGGUGUGCCCUAUCAACUGUCGACUGUGGCAUAGACGCCCACAGUGGUUUUGACGGGUAACGGGGAAUCAGGGUUCGAUUCCGGAGAGGGAGCCUGAGAAACGGCUACCACUUCUAAGGAAGGCAGCAGG